This is a long non-coding RNA of Zingiber officinale, 644 nucleotides long. RefSeq lists it as uncharacterized. NCBI's taxonomy places the organism in Eukaryota, Viridiplantae, Streptophyta, Magnoliopsida, Zingiberales, Zingiberaceae. The transcript is spliced from 3 exons. The record is from RefSeq and is a predicted model, not a curated record.
GGAAAAGGGGAUUGUAUUUGCUUUAUCUCAAGCUUCCUAUGGUUCCUGCUUGUUGUUGGGCUACUGGACUUAUUUUCUGCUCUCCCGAACUGUUAGAUAUUCUGAUCUUUUUCCCUUUAGAAUUUCAAACUUUUACUUUGACAAAUAUCUUCUGAAGAUGUGCUUAUUGUUCACUGGGCAAUCUUUUCAAAAGUUGAUUCUACAAGAAGGGGAAAAGAUGGUACUAGUAUGGUUGGAUACACCAUAUAACCAAGCUGUUUAUGGGCUAGUUGAUAAAUUAGGAAGUCUAGUUGUGAGAAUGAUAUUUUUACCUUUUGAGGAGAGCUCCUUUUCUACAUUUGCCAAGAUGGCAUCAGGUCAGCAUUUUCAAAACUGAAAUUGUCACUGUAUUUUUUUUCUUGAGUACCUCAUCAAUGACCAUUUUUUCCCAUUAUAUUGCGAUUAUCUAUGAUCUAGAUUUAUAUAACAAAAAAUCAUAUUAUUCACUGUCCGUUGGUUCCUUGGUGCCUCAUCAAUUUUUCCAGUUGAGAGUUCUCUACUGGAAUGGAUCCUUGGUUCUUAGGGCCUUGUGUUCUGGAAAUAACCUUAGGAAAUUACAUAUAUUUGAUCCUUAGUACCCAUUUUGAUGGGAGUUCCAUAUUGUG